RNAcentral lists this transfer RNA (77 nucleotides) under Candidatus Bathyarchaeota archaeon. Its description in RNAcentral is "tRNA-Lys". It matches the Rfam family "tRNA". Rfam says of the family: Transfer RNA (tRNA) molecules are approximately 80 nucleotides in length. Lineage: Archaea; Thermoproteati; Candidatus Bathyarchaeota. The record is from RNAcentral.
GGGCCCGUAGCUUAGCAAGGCAGAGCGACGGGCUCUUAACCCGUAGGUCGCGGGUUCAAUUCCCGCCGGGCCCGCCA